GUCCCCAGUGUCCCAGUGUCCCCAACACAAUGGAUGGAGACCCACCAUGACCCCAUGUCCCCAGUGUCCCCAAUGUCCCCAGUCAACAGUUGGAGACCCAACACGACCCGAUGUCCCCAGUGUCCCCAGUGUCCCCAAUGUCCCAGUGUCCCCGGUCAACAGUUGGAGAUCCAACAUGACCCUAUGUCCCCAAUGUCCCCAAAGCAAUGGACAGAGACCCACGACGACCCCAUGUCUCCAGUGUCCCCAAUGUCCCCAGUCAACAGUUGGAGACCCACCACGACCCCAUGUCCCCAGUGUCCCCACGCGCCCCACGGCCAAACCGCACCGGACCCACAGCGUCCACCUCCGUUUAUUGACGCCUUUCGGAGCCGCUCUCCCAUUUCCCGCUGCCCCACGGCACCGGGGUCCCAGUAUGGGAUGGCACUGGGGUCCCAGUAUCAAUUUCCCAUACAGAGCCCAGUGCCCCACAUUACUGGGAUCCCCUUGUCCCAUUUUACUGGGAUCCCAUUGUCCCAUUACUGGGAUCCCGCUGCCCCACAUCACUGGGAUCCCACUGCCCCACGUUACUGGGAUCCCAUUGCUCCAUUACUGGGAUCCCAUUGUCCCAUGUUACUGGGAUCCCAUUGCCCCAUUACUGGGAUCCCAUUGUCCCAUGUUACUGGGAUCCCAUUGCCCCA
Numida meleagris (helmeted guineafowl) is the source of this 680-nucleotide long non-coding RNA. The record is from Ensembl. NCBI's taxonomy places the organism in Eukaryota, Metazoa, Chordata, Aves, Galliformes, Numididae.